UACGAAGGGGGCUAGCGUUGUUCGGAAUUACUGGGCGUAAAGCGCACGUAGGCGGAUAUUUAAGUCAGGGGUGAAAUCCCAGAGCUCAACUCUGGAACUGCCUUUGAUACUGGGUAUCUUGAGUAUGGAAGAGGUAAGUGGAAUUGCGAGUGUAGAGGUGAAAUUCGUAGAUAUUCGCAGGAACACCAGUGGCGAAGGCGGCUUACUGGUCCAUAACUGACGCUGAGGUGCGAAAGCGUGGGGAGCAACAGGG
RNAcentral lists this ribosomal RNA (253 nucleotides) under uncultured bacterium. RNAcentral describes it as "partial 16S ribosomal RNA". It matches the Rfam family "Bacterial small subunit ribosomal RNA", at positions 524 to 776 of the family's 1533-position model. The record is from RNAcentral.